Molecule: ribosomal RNA, 496 nt
Filed under: uncultured bacterium
Lineage: Bacteria
Description: partial 16S ribosomal RNA
Rfam family: Bacterial small subunit ribosomal RNA
Source: RNAcentral
GACGAACGCUGGCGGCGUGCCUAAUACAUGCAAGUCGAGCGGUGAGGAUUGGUGCUUGCACCAAUUUCGAGAGCAGCGCACGGGUGAGUAACGCGUGGAUAAUCUCCCUUUGAGCGGGGGACAACAUUGGGAAACGGAUGCUAAUACCGCAUAACAACUUUAAACAUAUGGUUUAAUUUUGAAAGAUGCAAUUGCAUCACUCAAAGAUGAUCUCGGGUCGUAUUAGCUAGGUGGUGAGGUAAAGGCUCACCAAGGGGAGGAUACGCAGCCGACCUGAGAGGGUGAUCGGCCACAUGGGAAGGGAGACAGGGACCAGAGUACUGAGGGAGGCAGCAGAAGGGAAUCGUCCGCAAUGGUCGGAAGCCUGACGGAGCAGGGCGGAGUGAGUGAUGAAGGUCUUGGGAUCGUAAAACCCUGUUAUGAGGGAAGAACAAAUGUGGAAGGAACUAGGCACGUCGUGACGGUACCUAAUCAGAAAGCAACGGCUAACUACGUG